UACGUAGGUGGCAAGCGUUGUCCGGAUUUACUGGGCGUAAAGGGCGCGCAGGCGGCUGGGCAAGUCCGAUGUGAAAGCUUCCGGCUUAACUGGAAAAUUGCAUCGGAAACUGCUCGGCUUGAAGGUGGGAGAGGGUAGCGGAAUUCCCGGUGUAGUGGUGAAAUGCGUAGAUAUCGGGAGGAACACCAGUGGCGAAGGCGGCUACCUGGCCCGCUCUUGACGCUGAGGCGCGAAAGCUAGGGGAGCAAACGGG
RNAcentral lists this ribosomal RNA (253 nucleotides) under uncultured bacterium. Its description in RNAcentral is "partial 16S ribosomal RNA". It matches the Rfam family "Bacterial small subunit ribosomal RNA", at positions 524 to 776 of the family's 1533-position model. The record is from RNAcentral.